RNAcentral lists this transfer RNA (73 nucleotides) under Enterobius vermicularis (human pinworm). It matches the Rfam family "tRNA". From Rfam's summary of the family: Transfer RNA (tRNA) molecules are approximately 80 nucleotides in length. Their secondary structure includes four short double-helical elements and three loops (D, anti-codon, and T loops). Further hydrogen bonds mediate the characteristic L-shaped molecular structure. tRNAs have two regions of fundamental functional importance: the anti-codon, which is responsible for specific mRNA codon recognition, and the 3' end, to which the tRNAs corresponding amino acid is attached (by aminoacyl-tRNA synthetases). tRNAs cope with the degeneracy of the genetic code in two manners: having more than one tRNA (with a specific anti-codon) for a particular amino acid; and 'wobble' base-pairing, i.e. permitting non-standard base-pairing at the 3rd anti-codon position. Lineage: Eukaryota; Metazoa; Nematoda; Chromadorea; Rhabditida; Oxyuridae. The record is from Rfam by way of RNAcentral.
GCCAUCAUAGCUCAGUCGGGAGAGCGUUAGACUGAAGAUCUAAUGGUCGCCGGCUUGAUCCCGGUUCCCGGUU